Molecule: ribosomal RNA, 493 nt
Filed under: uncultured bacterium
Lineage: Bacteria
Description: partial 16S ribosomal RNA
Rfam family: Bacterial small subunit ribosomal RNA
Source: RNAcentral
GACGAACGCUGGCGGCGUGCUUAACACAUGCAAGUCGAACGGUGAAGCGCCUUCCUUUUUGGUGGGUGUGGAUGAGUGGCGAACGGGUGAGUAACACGUGAGUAACCUGCCCCCUUCUUCUGGAUAACCGCAUGAAAGUGUGGCUAAUACGGGAUAUUCUGGGUCUGUCGCAUGAGGGGUCUGGGAAAGAUAUUGUUUCGGGGGGGGAUGGGCUCGCGGCCUAUCAGCUUUUGGGGGGGGGGUGGGCCUACCAAGGGGGGGACGGGUGCCGGGCUGGGGGGGUGGACGGUCCCACUGGGGCUGGGGCCCGGCCCCGACUCCUACGGGAGGCAGCAGUGGGGAAUAUUGCACAAUGGGCGCAAGCCUGAUGCAGCGACGCCGCGUGAGGGAUGGAGGCCUUCGGGUUGUGAACCUCUUUCGCCAGUGAAGCAGGCCUGCCUCGUUUGUGGGUGGGUUGACGGUAGCUGGAUAAGAAGCGCCGGCUAACUACGUG